This is a non-coding RNA of Chlorocebus sabaeus (green monkey), 393 nucleotides long. The record is from RefSeq and is a predicted model, not a curated record. Lineage: Eukaryota; Metazoa; Chordata; Mammalia; Primates; Cercopithecidae.
GAGGCUAUUCUAAGUUCUGGCUUAUAGGUAUCAGAAAGUUGGUAUCAUUUCUGAUCAGUGUGGCGAUGGGAGGUAGAGGAGAAUAUUCUAGGUUCUGGCUUAUAGACAUCAGAAAUAUGACUACAGUGUAAUAGAACUGAUUCACUAAACCACCCUUCCAAACACACAUCCAAAUGAGUGUCAUUCCAUGUAGUUCCUGUGAGCAGACUACACACUUAUUCUAAUUGUCUUGCCAUUGCUCAAAGUAGUUUGGAACUACACUUUCUAAACUGCCUUCAGAAAUAAUUUAGUUAUAGGUGCAAAAUAAUUGGUCUUAUGACUUUACUGUCACACCAUCGUUUGAGCAAGAUCUGUAUUACCCAGCCCAAUUACACAAAAUAUUCACAAAAUUUU